GUCCAGCUUGCUGGAUGCUGACGAGCGGCGGACGGGUGAGUAAUGCAUAGGAAUCUGCCCGGUAGUGGGGGAUAACCUGGGGAAACCCAGGCUAAUACCGCAUACGCCCUACGGGGGAAAGCAGGGGCUCUUCGGACCUUGCGCUAUCGGAUGAGCCUAUGUCGGAUUAGCUAGUUGGUAGGGUAACGGCCUACCAAGGCGACGAUCCGUAGCUGGUCUGAGAGGAUGAUCAGCCACACUGGGACUGAGACACGGCCCAGACUCCUACGGGAGGCAGCAGUGGGGAAUAUUGGACAAUGGGGGCAACCCUGAUCCAGCCAUGCCGCGUGUGUGAAGAAGGCCUUCGGGUUGUAAAGCACUUUCAGUGGGGAAGAAGGCCUUGCGGUUAAUACCCGCAAGGAAGGACAUCACCCACAGAAGAAGCACCGGCUAACUCCGUGCCAGCAGCCGCGGUAAUACGGAGGGUGCGAGCGUUAAUCGGAAUUACUGGGCGUAAAGCGCGCGUAGGCGGCCAAGUAAGCCGGUUGUGAAAGCCCCGGGCUCAACCUGGGAAUGGCAUCCGGAACUGUUUGGCUAGAGUGCAGAAGAGGAAGGUAGAAUUCCCGGUGUAGCGGUGAAAUGCGUAGAGAUCGGGAGGAAUACCAGUGGCGAAGGCGGCCUUCUGGUCUGACACUGACGCUGAGGUGCGAAAGCGUGGGUAGCAAACAGGAUUAGAUACCCUGGUAGUCCACGCCGUAAACGAUGUCGACUAGCCGUUGGGAGCCUUGAGUUCUUAGUGGCGCAGUUAACGCGAUAAGUCGACCGCC
RNAcentral lists this ribosomal RNA (806 nucleotides) under Halomonas sp. AD22. RNAcentral's name for it is "bacterial SSU rRNA". It matches the Rfam family "Bacterial small subunit ribosomal RNA", at positions 73 to 873 of the family's 1533-position model. The record is from RNAcentral. Lineage: Bacteria; Pseudomonadati; Pseudomonadota; Gammaproteobacteria; Oceanospirillales; Halomonadaceae.